AUACGGAGGGGGCUAGCGUUGUUCGGAAUUACUGGGCGUAAAGCGCGCGUAGGCGGAUUGGUCAGUUGGGGGUGAAAUCCCGGGGCUCAACCCCGGAACUGCCUCCAAAACUGCCAGUCUCGAGUCCGGGAGAGGUGAGUGGAAUUCCGAGUGUAGAGGUGAAAUUCGUAGAUAUUCGGAGGAACACCAGUGGCGAAGGCGACUCACUGGCCCGGUACUGACGCUGAGGUGCGAAAGCGUGGGGAGCAAACAGGAUUAGAAACCCCGGUAGUCC
RNAcentral lists this ribosomal RNA (274 nucleotides) under uncultured bacterium. Its description in RNAcentral is "partial 16S ribosomal RNA". It matches the Rfam family "Bacterial small subunit ribosomal RNA", at positions 523 to 796 of the family's 1533-position model. The record is from RNAcentral.